This 427-nucleotide unclassified non-coding RNA is filed under the name Hevea brasiliensis (rubber tree). Lineage: Eukaryota; Viridiplantae; Streptophyta; Magnoliopsida; Malpighiales; Euphorbiaceae. The record is from RNAcentral.
GUACCGUUUUCCUCUUCUCCUAAUCUUUUUUUUUUGUUUUCUUUUAUUCGUUCGUUCACUCUGUUUCUCUUUAUUAUAAUGAUUAUAUAAGCAUCUAAUGUCAUAGUUCUUGAAGGGUUCGCGUGUAAUUGUCUUGCCUGAGCUUUUAUAUGGGAUUUUUUUGUAGAAUUUUAUGUAUGAACUAGGCUAAUUAACCGAAGCUAAAUGAGUAUCGUAAUACAAAUAUAUUUAUUUUAAAUUGAAGAAUGAAAUUUUAAAAUUGGUGAAUCAGAAAUGUUUCUCAUGAAUUUUGCCAUAUAAUGGAUUGAUAUAUGUACUAAUUCACCCCAACAGUUUUUGUGUUGAAAGAGAGUUCAAGAAAGGGUAUUUUCUGCUGCUUCUGCUGGUAAUAUUUUGCUAUAUUUGGGUUACAGUCAUGCUAUUGUGG